CUCUGUACCAGGCAGCAGGCAGGCCAGCUGGUGAACCACCACCCUCAAGCCCUUUCCAGACCUCACUUCCAACAAAAAAGAGUUCUCUACUAAGAUGAAUUGCUUUGAUGUGUGAAGCAAAGCCAGUGAUACAGUCAGAACAUUUCAUAUAAUCUCUCCACUUUCCCACGCUUUGAGCAUCAAUACUGGGAAGGCUGCCCGUCCCUUAACUCUGUAUGACCAGGGGAUACCACAAUCUCUGCAUAAUCCACAGAGCAACAAAUAUUCUAAGUGGAUUUUCCCCUCUUCACUUCAUUCGUUGCAAACAAGUGCUCCUAUCGCUUCACAUUAAACUGUUUCAUUUCCUUCUGCUGUUCGAGCUCGGACAUGUCCAUACCCAUUCUUUGAUCAGAGGCUGGGAAAUACCGCCCUGGCUGAGGUAUUUCAGCCCAUCAUUGAUGCCCAUCAUUGAUGCCCAUCAUUGAUGCCCACAAAACUUGGAAACAAAACAAAUGUUUGCACAGGAACAGAGGUAUUUCAUCACUACUAAAGUAGAAAAAAGGGCCUAAGUGCACAAAUGCACAAGCCUCAAGUGUCACUCAGAACAUCAUGAAAUGGUUUGGGCGUUGGAAGGAAUCUUUAAAGGUUAUCUAGUCCAACUUCCCUACAACGACAAGGGACAUCUUCAACCAGAUCAGGAUCCUCAGAGCUCUGUCCAACCUGACUUGAAUGUUUCCAGGGACAGGCAUCCACCACCUCUCCAAGCAAGAGGAGUUGCCAGCAUUUCAUCACCCACAUUGCAAAAAAACGUCUUCCUUGUAUAUAAUCUAAAUCAAACUUUUUUGAGUUUAAAACCAGAACCCCUUGUACAACCACAACAGGACCUGCUUAAAAGUUUGUCCCCAUCUUUUGUGUUAGUCCUCACCCACUCUUUACAGACCAUGGCUCAGCUACAGAUCCCAUAAAAGCUCAUGCAGAAGUACGUGUGGUAACUGCAGCAGGAACAAAUCCUCUCCAGCUCUGCUUUGUAUGGUGACAGCAACAACGGCAAAAACUCUGUGAAUGUUUUAAAAACCUGUCAAAUCACUGCAGCGCAAUACAUACAAAUAUCCACUGUACACUACAGGACUUCAAUACCAGCUAGCACUUCCAGCAUAUACAUAUUUUACUACUUUGUAAAGUAAAAGCAGCCUAAUUUUGAAGACCACUGGGUCCCUGCUGCUCCUACUGAUAAUGACAGCAGUAACUUCCCAGCAGUGAUGGGAAGGAAGCCCUAUCACCAGAACACACUGAACUACUUUGCCAGCAGGUGCCUAACUUAAUGUGGUUUUAUGUGGAUCUGGA
This is a long non-coding RNA of Corvus hawaiiensis (hawaiian crow), 1323 nucleotides long. RefSeq lists it as uncharacterized. Lineage: Eukaryota; Metazoa; Chordata; Aves; Passeriformes; Corvidae. The record is from RefSeq and is a predicted model, not a curated record. The transcript has 3 exons.